UGGGGAAUAUUCCGCAAUGGACGAAAGUCUGACGGAGCAACGCCGCGUGAGUGAUGAAGGUUUUCGGACUGUAAAGCUCUGUUGUUUAGGACGAAAGUGCCUGUUGCGAACAGUUACAGGUAUUGACGGUACUAAACGAGGAAGCCACGGCUAACUACGUGCCAGCAGCCGCGGUAAUACAUAGGUGGCAAGCGUUGUCCGGAAUUAUUGGGCGUAAAGAGCAUGUAGGCGGAGAUUUAAGUCUGUUGUGAAAAUGCGGGGCUCAACCCCGUAUUGCGAUGGAAACUGAAUUUCUUGAGUGCAGGAGAGGAAAGGGGAAUUCCCAGUGUAGCGGUGAAAUGCGUAGAUAUUGGGAGGAACACCAGUGGCGAAGGCGCCUUUCUGGACUGUGUCUGACGCUGAGAUGCGAAAGCCAGGGUAGCGAACG
This 427-nucleotide ribosomal RNA is filed under the name uncultured bacterium. RNAcentral describes it as "bacterial SSU rRNA". It matches the Rfam family "Bacterial small subunit ribosomal RNA", at positions 355 to 774 of the family's 1533-position model. The record is from RNAcentral.